GACGAACGCUGGCGGCGUACCUAAUACAUGCAAGUCGAACGAGUGGCGGACGGGUGAGUAAUGUCUGGGAAACUGCCUGAUGGAGGGGGAUAACUACUGGAAACGGUAGCUAAUACCGCAUACCAGCAGAUGUGCCCAGAUGGGAUUAGCUAGUUGGUGGGGUAACGGCUCACCCAGGAGACGAUCCCUAGCUGGUCUGAGAGGAUGACCAGCCAAACUGGAACUGAUACACGGUCCAGACUCCUACGAGAGGCAGCAGUGGGGAAUGUUGCACAAUGGGCGCAAGCCUGAUGCAGCCAUGCCUCGUGUAUGAAGAAGGCCUUCGGGUUGUAAAGUACUUUCAGCGGGGAGGCGUUACCCGCAGAAGAAGCACCGGCUAACUCCGUGCCAGCAGCCGCGGUAAUAC
RNAcentral lists this ribosomal RNA (406 nucleotides) under uncultured bacterium. RNAcentral's name for it is "partial 16S ribosomal RNA". It matches the Rfam family "Bacterial small subunit ribosomal RNA", at positions 28 to 526 of the family's 1533-position model. The record is from RNAcentral.